AGAUUGAACGCUAGCGGGAUGCUUUACACAUGCAAGUCGAACGGCAGCGCGGACUUCGGUCUGGCGGCGAGUGGCGAACGGGUGAGUAAUAUAUCGGAACGUGCCCAGUAGCGGGGGAUAACUACGCGAAAGCGUGGCUAAUACCGCAUACGCCCUACGGGGGAAAGGGGGGGAUCGCAAGACCUCUCACUAUUGGAGCGGCCGAUAUCAGAUUGGCUAGUUGGUGAGGUAAAGGCUCACCAAGGCGACGAUCUGUAGCUGGUUUGAGAGGACGACCAGCCACACUGGGACCUGAGACACGGCCCAGACUCCUACGGGAGGCAGCAGUGGGAAUUUGGACAAGUGGGGAAACCCUGAUCCAGCCAUCCCGCGUGUGCGAUGAAGGCCUUGGGUUGUAAGCUACUUUUGGCAAGGAAGAAACGCGUUAGUAC
RNAcentral lists this ribosomal RNA (431 nucleotides) under uncultured soil bacterium. Its description in RNAcentral is "bacterial SSU rRNA". It matches the Rfam family "Bacterial small subunit ribosomal RNA", at positions 26 to 461 of the family's 1533-position model. The record is from RNAcentral.